This 253-nucleotide ribosomal RNA is filed under the name uncultured bacterium. RNAcentral describes it as "partial 16S ribosomal RNA". It matches the Rfam family "Bacterial small subunit ribosomal RNA", at positions 524 to 776 of the family's 1533-position model. The record is from RNAcentral.
UACGUUGGGGGCAAGCGUUGUCCGGAUUUAUUGGGCGUAAAGAGCGUGUAGGCGGCUUUGCAAGUCCGUUGUGAAAACUCGAGGCUCAACCUCGAGACGCCGGUGGAAACUGCAAAGCUAGAGUCCGGAAGAGGAGAGUGGAAUUCCUGGUGUAGCGGUGAAAUGCGCAGAUAUCAGGAAGAACACCCGUGGCGAAGGCGGCUCUCUGGGACGGUACUGACGCUGAGACGCGAAAGCGUGGGGAGCGAACAGG